Long non-coding RNA from Phasianus colchicus (ring-necked pheasant), 1423 nucleotides. RefSeq lists it as uncharacterized. The record is from RefSeq and is a predicted model, not a curated record. Lineage: Eukaryota; Metazoa; Chordata; Aves; Galliformes; Phasianidae.
GAUAGUCUUUUCUGGAAAGUUUGGCAAGCUCCAAUCCUCAGAAAGAGAGACCACCUUGCCAAACAACAUAAAGAUCCAUACUGCAGAAAUACUGCCUUUGCAAGCAGUGACAGCUCCUGCUGGUCAACCCCAAAGCUGCUUCAUUUUCAAGGUGGGAAAGAGUGCAUGCAGUGACAUCUGGUUUCUGGUCUGUCUUUCUGGAUUGGUGGAGUAAUAGAAGAUAGCAUUUAUGGAUUCCUCCCAGCUCCAAGAUUGUGUCACAGAGCUGAGACUGUUGUAGUGAGAAUUUGCAACAUCCAUUAGAACUAAUGAAUUAGUACUGUAUAUCUUGUAAUCACCAUUAUGUAAACAUUAGUAGUACAGAAUAAUAUCUUUUUCAGCCUACUAUUGACAGAUUUGUUAUUAAUUAUCUCAGUGAAAAAGUUCUUAUUUACCAAUACAGUUUGUAACUUAAAAUGUCUGUCAAGUUGAGAAUUCUACAUCAUACCUGUCUAUAGUGAAAUCCUGAUAUAUGAAAUUUCUGAAUUAGUCUCUUUAGUAGUCUAAUGUGUUCUCUGUAGUAGUCAUGUAUUUGUAGCAUGCUUGACAAGAAGGAGCUGUCAUCAUCUUAUCAGCAAAUACUGCAUUUAGAUUCAGUUUUCAGAUAAGUUGAAGUAUAAAUAUAGUUUCUUAUGUGAAAACAUUGGCAGCAAACGUAGUUGUUAUGGUGGUUUUCCACUGCCAAAAUAUAUUAGAACAUGCAAGAAAAUAAUUCACUGUAUGUGUCUUUUGUUAAAUCUUAUGUUUUACAGGAUUUUCCUGUGCCACAUAAAUUGUAAACCAUAUUGUAUUUCAUUUUGGCUUUUUUGAUGACUGCUUGAGGCUGUAUUAAUGAUGCAAGCAGUUAUAUCUUGGUGAUGUCCUCUCCUAGGAAAGGAGGUAUCCACAGCAAGGAGGGGUCAUACUGCACAAGAGGCUCUUCUCUAUUCAAGUUGACUAGUAGAAAGAGUUUAGCACAUUGCAGCAUUAAGAUGCAAGGCAUCUUUUGAUCAGUUCUUGCAUUUUAUUAAUCCAAUUAAAUGUUGAGCUCUCCAAGAACAAAAGCUAUUUGACAUAAGAUGGUUUACUUGGGCUUGACAAAAGAAAACAAAUAUGCAAACAGCAAUCUAUAAUGAUAAUUUGACUCAUGGCAUAUGCUUUUUGGUUCAGUGAGUUUCCUGUAUUGAUUUUUGAGCUUGAGCAUUAAUGAAUUCCAUUUUCAAGCAACGUGCACCCUUUGGGAUGUGCAAGCUUUCUGAGUAUUAUUGAAUUAAGGCUGUGGGAUGCUCACAUGACGUAUUUUUUUCUUUGGCUGCUGAUGGGGGAUCCAGCUGAGUUUUUGUUCUGUUACACUGUUUCUGCUUCAUGGUUGCUGUCUCUUCUGAUUUUUCUUUUGGAACGUAAG